GAUGAACGCUAGCUACAGGCUUAACACAUGCAAGUCGAGGGGAAACGGCAUUGAGUGCUUGCACUCUUUGGACGUCGACCGGCGCACGGGUGAGUAACGCGUAUCCAACCUUCCCAUUACUGUGGGAUAACCUGCCGAAAGGCAGACUAAUACCGCAUAGUCUUCGAUGACGGCACCAGAUUUGAAGUAAAGAUUUAUCGGUAAUGGAUGGGGAUGCGUCUGAUUAGCUUGUUGGUGGGGUAACGGCCCACCAAGGCAACGAUCAGUAGGGGUUCUGAGAGGAAGGUCCCCCACAUUGGAACUGAGACACGGUCCAAACUCCUACGGGAGGCAGCAGUGAGGAAUAUUGGUCAAUGGACGGAAGUCUGAACCAGCCAAGUAGCGUGCAGGAUGACGGCCCUAUGGGUUGUAAACUGCUUUUGUAUGGGGAUAAAGUUAGGGACGUGUCCCUAUUUGCAGGUACCAUACGAAUAAGGACCGGCUAAUUCCGUGCCAGCAGCCGCGGUAAUACGGAAGGUCCAGGCGUUAUCCGGAUUUAUUGGGUUUAAAGGGAGCGUAGGCUGGAGAUUAAGUGUGUUGUGAAAUGUAGACGCUCAACGUCUGAAUUGCAGCGCAUACUGGUUUCCUUGAGUACGCACAACGUUGGCGGAAUCCGUCGUGUAGCGGUGAAAUGCUUAGAUAUGACGAAGAACUCCGAUUGCGAAGGCAGCUGACGGGAGCGCAACUGACGCUUAAGCUCGAAGGUGCGGGUAUCAAACAGG
Molecule: ribosomal RNA, 761 nt
Filed under: Prevotella melaninogenica
Lineage: Bacteria; Pseudomonadati; Bacteroidota; Bacteroidia; Bacteroidales; Prevotellaceae
Description: bacterial SSU rRNA
Rfam family: Bacterial small subunit ribosomal RNA
Source: RNAcentral